UGCUGUGAAGAGAGUAUGGUACUGAUGAGUGAUGAAGGGCCAAAGCUCGGAGC
RNAcentral lists this small nucleolar RNA (53 nucleotides) under Candidatus Acidianus copahuensis. Its description in RNAcentral is "Small nucleolar RNA sR14". It matches the Rfam family "Small nucleolar RNA sR14". The record is from Rfam by way of RNAcentral. Lineage: Archaea; Thermoproteati; Thermoproteota; Thermoprotei; Sulfolobales; Sulfolobaceae.